Molecule: ribosomal RNA, 114 nt
Filed under: Nicotiana attenuata
Lineage: Eukaryota; Viridiplantae; Streptophyta; Magnoliopsida; Solanales; Solanaceae
Description: rRNA SSU_rRNA_eukarya
Source: RNAcentral
AUAACAAUACCGGGCUCUAUGAGUCUGGUAAUUGGAAUGAGUACAUUCUGAAUUCCUUAAUGAGGAUCCAUUGGAGGGCAAGUCUGGUGCCAGCAGCCGGUCGUCUCGUCCCUU